CACGUAGGGCGCAAGCGUUGUCCGGAAUUAUUGGGCGUAAAGAGCUCGUAGGUGGUUUGCUGCGUCCGCUGUGAAAACCCAAGGCUUAACCUUGGGCUUGCAGUGGAUACGGGCAGACUAGAGGUAGGUAGGGGAGAAUGGAAUUCCCGGUGUAGCGGUGAAAUGCGCAGAUAUCGGGAGGAACACCGGUGGCGAAGGCGGUUCUCUGGGCCUUACCUGACACUGAGGAGCGAAAGCGUGGGUAGCAAACAGG
This 253-nucleotide ribosomal RNA is filed under the name uncultured bacterium. RNAcentral describes it as "partial 16S ribosomal RNA". It matches the Rfam family "Bacterial small subunit ribosomal RNA", at positions 524 to 776 of the family's 1533-position model. The record is from RNAcentral.